AUGACCCCAAGCCGUCUGAUCUGGACCGAGCCAAAGCGUGGCCCGAGUCUGGCCGUCGCCGUCAUCUCCAAGCCAUGGCGCUGCCACCGGCCUCUCUCUCGACGUCAUGCCAUGCCACAUCCCGCAAACCCGCCUGCCUCCUUGACCUCCAGGCCACCCCGUCGCGCCCUUCUCGUUGCUGAGGCCGCCACCGGCGCCCCAAGCGCCUGCCUCUGCCAUGGCCUUCCUCCUCUCGUGCCUGCAGCGAUGCUGCCCUGCUGCAGCUGCUCUUCCUGCGCGUCACCUUCCUCGCUGAGCCCCGUGGCGUGGCCCUUCUCCGGCAACUAG
RNAcentral lists this ribosomal RNA (327 nucleotides) under Triticum aestivum (bread wheat). RNAcentral describes it as "partial small subunit ribosomal RNA". The record is from RNAcentral. Lineage: Eukaryota; Viridiplantae; Streptophyta; Magnoliopsida; Poales; Poaceae.